GCGGUGCAGGGUAGGCAGGUCUGUAUAGAUAGUCUAGGGUAGGUACAGGGUAGGCACAGCGUAGGUAGAAGUCUGGUAUAUAGUAUGGGCGGGUGUAGGGUAGGCUCAGACACCGAUCCGUUUCGCGCCCUCACCUUUGCUCGGAAAACGACAAUCUUGGCCGGGAUGCAGGUCUAGGGUAGGCUGAAUCUAUGAUUAUAUAAGCUAUACUGCUCUAGGGUAGGUGAAGAUCCCAUAGAAAUCUGAUCAGAAUUGGUGACGAAGUGAUUUUGCUCGGAAGAUGCAGAAAAGUGUAACGCAGAACUGUAUGUGGCUUUGCAAAAGUGAGUGCGAAAU
Molecule: unclassified non-coding RNA, 336 nt
Filed under: Fusarium verticillioides
Lineage: Eukaryota; Fungi; Ascomycota; Sordariomycetes; Hypocreales; Nectriaceae
Description: partial contains 28S ribosomal RNA, 28S-18S ribosomal RNA intergenic spacer, and 18S ribosomal RNA
Source: RNAcentral